AGAAGCCGCAGUAGAUGCACUUGGUCAUGUCGAUGUCAUAGCGGGUGGUCCGGCGGCUGCCAUCAGCUCUUGGCUCAGCCUCGAUGGUGAUGGCCUGGGCUGGCGUGGUGGCCGGUUGGGGCAGGGGCUCACCUGGGCGGGGCAGAUGGCCUCGCAGAGCUUGCAGGCAAUGCAACGCUCCUCCCCGGAUGGGUACCGGCGCAGCGCAUGCUCCCCACGGAAGCGAGGGCUCAGCGGGCCCUUCUCGAACGGGUAGUUGAUGGUGGCCGGUUCCCGGAACAGGUAGCUCAGGGUCAUGCCCAGGC
This 305-nucleotide long non-coding RNA is filed under the name Homo sapiens (human). RNAcentral's name for it is "non-protein coding lnc-CHKA-3:1". The record is from RNAcentral. Lineage: Eukaryota; Metazoa; Chordata; Mammalia; Primates; Hominidae.